Molecule: small RNA, 58 nt
Filed under: Saccharolobus solfataricus P2
Lineage: Archaea; Thermoproteati; Thermoproteota; Thermoprotei; Sulfolobales; Sulfolobaceae
Description: snoRNA-like RNA
Source: RNAcentral
GGAACAGAUGAUGAAUUCCCGAUAGUACGAUUGAUGAGCUAAACUCCCAUGGACUGAU